UACAGAGGUCUCAAGCGUUGUUCGGAUUCAUUGGGCGUAAAGGGUGUGUAGGUGGCGCGCUAAGUCGGGUGUGAAAUCUCCGGGCUUAACUCGGAACGGUCAAGUGAUACUGUCGGACUAGAGUACAGAAGGGGCAACUGGAAUUCUCGGUGUAGCGGUGAAAUGCGUAGAUAUCGAGAGGAACACCAGUGGCGAAGGCGACUCACUGGACAUGUAUUGACGCUGAGGCGCGAAAGCGUGGGGAGCAAACAGG
This 253-nucleotide ribosomal RNA is filed under the name uncultured bacterium. Its description in RNAcentral is "partial 16S ribosomal RNA". It matches the Rfam family "Bacterial small subunit ribosomal RNA", at positions 524 to 776 of the family's 1533-position model. The record is from RNAcentral.